This 253-nucleotide ribosomal RNA is filed under the name uncultured bacterium. RNAcentral describes it as "partial 16S ribosomal RNA". It matches the Rfam family "Bacterial small subunit ribosomal RNA", at positions 524 to 776 of the family's 1533-position model. The record is from RNAcentral.
UACGUAGGGGGCAAGCGUUAUCCGGAUUUACUGGGUGUAAAGGGAGCGUAGACGGUAUGGCAAGUCUGAUGUGAAAACCCGAGGCUCAACCACGGGAGUGCAUUGGAAACUGGCGGGCUGGAGUGCCGGAGAGGUAAGCGGAAUUCCUAGUGUAGCGGUGAAAUGCGUAGAUAUUAGGAGGAACACCAGUGGCGAAGGCGGCUUACUGGACGGCAACUGACGCUGAGGCUCGAAAGCGUGGGGAGCAAACAGG